CCCCCCGGUAACGGUACCCCCGAAUGCAAAUCCGGAGGAACACCCUAAAAGGGGCCGGGGCUUCUCCCGUUUUAAAAAAAACCGGAAAAAG
This 91-nucleotide transfer RNA is filed under the name Cyrtodactylus cf. intermedius. RNAcentral describes it as "tRNA-Cys". Lineage: Eukaryota; Metazoa; Chordata; Lepidosauria; Squamata; Gekkonidae. The record is from RNAcentral.